UCAUAAAAAUCUUUUAAAAAAAAGAAAAUAAAGAACAGACGCCUCAGUAUUUGUUUCUCAAAGCAACAAUCUUCUCACAGCUAACAACCAGCUUCGCUUACAACAAACUUAGUACAUAGUAGCUCUCAACUAAAAAUCUGUGUUUUCUCAGAGAAAGCACAUGUCUGCCUAGCAGCAAACGCAACCCAGGUCGCAUUGAUUAGUGUUUCAUCUCAGUGUUCUCGAAACAGAGAAAGCAGAGGUUUGCGCAGCUGUGAACUUUUUUCGAUUUAAAACUCGUCUCGGAUCUUAGGUUAUGACACCUAGUAAGCGAUGGAUGCAACUUUCUCUUGAUAAACGGGUUGACCGGACCAAUUUAGAUGGGGUGAAAAAAAAAUUGGAUUAUGCUUUUCGAGGCUCUAUUGGUAAGGAACGAGGAACUGGACAUAAAAACUCCACCAUUCCUUCUAGUGAAGUUCAUACUCCCUUUCAUUCAUUUACUAAUCAAGUAAAGCAAUGUAUCAAAGAAGUUGAAACAAGUAUGUUUCUUUUCUAAAAUAUGUUUUAUUUUAAAUUCCAUGUAUAAUAGAAAGUAAAUGUCAAAGUUUUUAUAAUAUUACUUCUUGAUUCUAGGUGCUAUAGAAAAGGGAUGUGAGCAAAUGCCUAGAUUUUUCUGCUCAUUUUAGGGGUUUCUAAAAAUAAUCUGGAAUCUAGUCAAGGACUACUAUCAAUGGAUAAAAAUCCCCUUAUUCUUGAGAAAGAAAAAAACACGGAAAUCAAAUCCCAUGGUUCUACUGAUCAAGUAAGGCAACCCUCCAAAACAACAGAAACAAGAUCAUCUAAUCCUAAGAAGGUACAAAGGGUUCGAAGAACAAAAAAGUGUAAAGAAGUUGCAUCACUUGAAGCCAGAAAGAAGCUGAAAAUAACAUUCUACAAUAAUCGAACGGUUGGAACAAAUAGCAAUCUGUUUUUGAGGCACCUGGAAAAAUAAUUCGUGAUUAUAAAACAUGUGUCCAUUGGGAGUAUCAUUGUUUAGUGAUAUCAAGCAACAAAAUAUGGAUCAUACGUGGGCAGUUAUUGCAGUAACAAUUAUGAAUUACAUCGUUUAACUUGUUGACAACUUACUUUUCCUAUUCAAACAUUAAGCACUGCUGCAUAUCUUUUUCAUGCUCAAAUUUGUACAUACUUUUUGUCUAUUUGUCACACAAUGUUCACUUUCCUUUUUUUAUUUAAGCUCAUAUUUUAAUUGUUGUAGGAUAAAUUUGAGAGUGAUGACUUGAAUGAUCAUUGUGAUCAUAUAUUUUGAUGGAUGAAUGAGUUAUGGAACAAAUGGAGAUGAUACUUGCAUGCUACUUAUGUGAAGAAUAAGCCGAUCGUCAAGCUCUUAAGAAUAUUCCAAAAGGAGUAGAAAGGAAGGAAUGAGAGUGGUUAGUUAAGGAACAAUUUUGUUCUGAAAGUUUUCAGGCUUAAAUCAAAGAAAUACUAAAAGUUGAGUCAUCUCUGCUAGCAUAGAGAUUGUAGAAAAGUAUUGUGGACCUCAAAAUUGUAGCCAUGACUUUGGGGAUGGAGUAAAGGCAAAGGACAUGAGAGUUGACACUUCUUCAAAGGUUGAAUUACUGUCUGAGCUACGUUCAACUCAAGAGAAAAAUAAAUUAAAUGACGAAAAUAAAUCCUUGGAUGAUCGCUUGUUUACAUUAGAAGAUGGAAUGAAAGAGAUAAUAAAUAUGAAAGAGUUCUUUGCUGCUCAACAAUCACAUAACCUGCAUAUGACAUCACUUGUAUCAACUGAAUGGCCACUGACAUUUUUUGCUGACCAAGUCGAUUAUCCUCCUUCUCAAUCAAUUCAUUUUGAGAUUUAGUACAACCAUCUGCUUGAUUGUGGAGUAUCUCGGAGUUGUUGAAUUUUAUUAUUAGCUCGAUUUAAUUGUGCCCCUCCACUAUGGACACCACCUGUGUUUGGCUCUUGCUAAAACUCGGAGUUGUUGUUGGAAUUGAUCUCUGUAAUUUUUUUUUAUGUACCCCACAUUAUUGACAAACCAUUUGAAGAUCACUGUACAUAUAGUUAUUCUCUGUUUUUUAUUGAUCUUUGU
Non-coding RNA from Solanum lycopersicum (tomato), 2069 nucleotides. The record is from RefSeq and is a predicted model, not a curated record. Lineage: Eukaryota; Viridiplantae; Streptophyta; Magnoliopsida; Solanales; Solanaceae.